This 468-nucleotide ribosomal RNA is filed under the name uncultured bacterium. Its description in RNAcentral is "partial 16S ribosomal RNA". It matches the Rfam family "Bacterial small subunit ribosomal RNA", at positions 28 to 507 of the family's 1533-position model. The record is from RNAcentral.
GACGAACGCUGGCGGCGUGCUUAACACAUGCAAGUCGAACGGAAAGGCCCUGCUUUUGUGGGGUGCUCGAUUGGCGAACGGGUGAGUAACACGUGAGUAACCUGCCCUUGACUUUGGGAUAACUUCAGGAAACUGGGGCUAAUACCGUAUAGGAUCUCCUGCUGCAUUGUGGGGGUUGGAAAGUUUCGGCGGUGGGGGAUGGACUCGCGGCUUAUCAGCUUGUUGGUGGGGUAGUGGCUUACCCAGGCUUUGACGGGUAGCCGGCCUGAGAGGGUGACCGGCGACACUGGGACUGAGAUACGGCCGAGAUGGCUACGGGAGGAAGCAGUGGGGAAUACUGAACAAUGGGCGGAAGGCUGAUGCAGAAACGCCGCGUGCGGGAUGACGGCCUUCGGGUUGUAAACAGCUUUCGCCUGUGACGAAGCGUGAGUGAAGGUAAUGGGUAAAGAAGCAACGGCUAAAUACGUG